GACGAACGCUGGCGGCGUGCUUAACACAUGCAAGUCGAACGGAAAGGCUCCAGCUUGCUGGAGUACUCGAGUGGCGAACGGGUGAGUAACACGUGGGUAAUCUGCCCUGCACUCUGGGAUAAGCCUGGGAAACUGGGUCUAAUACUGGAUAUGACCUUUCUCCUUAUGGGGUUUGGUGGAAAGUUUUUCGGUGUAGGAUGAGCCCGCGGCCUAUCAGCUUGUUGGUGGGGUGAUGGCCUACCAAGGCGACGACGGGAAGCCGGCCUGAGAGGGUGAUCGGCCACAUUGGGACUGAGAUACGGCCCAGACUCCUACGGGAGGCAGCAGUGGGGAAUAUUGCACAAUGGGCGGAAGCCUGAUGCAGCGACGCCGCGUGAGGGAUGACGGCCUUCGGGUUGUAAACCUCUUUCAGCAGGGACGAAGCGUAAGUGACGGUACCUGCAGAAGAAGCACCGGCUAACUAUGUG
This 467-nucleotide ribosomal RNA is filed under the name uncultured bacterium. RNAcentral's name for it is "partial 16S ribosomal RNA". It matches the Rfam family "Bacterial small subunit ribosomal RNA", at positions 28 to 507 of the family's 1533-position model. The record is from RNAcentral.